Molecule: ribosomal RNA, 253 nt
Filed under: uncultured bacterium
Lineage: Bacteria
Description: partial 16S ribosomal RNA
Rfam family: Bacterial small subunit ribosomal RNA
Source: RNAcentral
UACGUAGGGUGCAAGCGUUAUCCGGAAUUAUUGGGCGUAAAGAGCUCGUAGGCGGUUUGUCGCGUCUGCUGUGAAAACCGGAGGCUCAACCUCCGGCCUGCAGUGGGUACGGGCAAACUAGAGUGCGGUAGGGGAGAUUGGAAUUCCUGGUGUAGCGGUGGAAUGCGCAGAUAUCAGGAGGAACACCGAUGGCGAAGGCAGAUCUCUGGGCCGUAACUGACGCUGAGGAGCGAAAGCGUGGGGAGCAAACAGG